RNAcentral lists this ribosomal RNA (465 nucleotides) under uncultured bacterium. RNAcentral describes it as "partial 16S ribosomal RNA". It matches the Rfam family "Bacterial small subunit ribosomal RNA", at positions 28 to 507 of the family's 1533-position model. The record is from RNAcentral.
GACGAACGCUGGCGGCGUGCUUAACACAUGCAAGUCGAACGGAAAGGCCCCCUUGUGGGGUACUCGAGUGGCGAACGGGUGAGUAACACGAGAGUAACCUACCCUUGACUUUGGGAUAACUUCAGGAAACUGGGUCUAAUACCGGAUAUGAUCUCCUGCUGCAUGGUGGUGGUUGGAAAGUUUCGGCGGUUGGGGAUGGACUCGCGGCUUAUCAGCUUGUUGGUGGGGUAGUGGCUCACUAAGGCUUCGACGGGUAGCCGGCCUGAGAGGGUGACCGGCCACAUGAGGACUGAGCUACGGCCCAGAGUAGUAAGGGAGGCAGCAGUGGGGAAUAUUGCACAAUGGGGCCAAGCCUGAUGCAGCAACGCCGCGUGAGGGAUGACAGCCUUCGGGUGGAAAACCGCUUUCGCCGGUAACGAAGCGUGAGUGACGGUAAUGGGUAAAGAAGCACCGGCUAACUACGUG